UUGUCUUCUGUUGUCACGAUA
Molecule: non-coding RNA, 21 nt
Filed under: Arabidopsis thaliana (thale cress)
Lineage: Eukaryota; Viridiplantae; Streptophyta; Magnoliopsida; Brassicales; Brassicaceae
Source: RNAcentral